RNAcentral lists this ribosomal RNA (252 nucleotides) under uncultured bacterium. RNAcentral describes it as "partial 16S ribosomal RNA". It matches the Rfam family "Bacterial small subunit ribosomal RNA", at positions 524 to 776 of the family's 1533-position model. The record is from RNAcentral.
UACGUAGGGCGCAAGCGUUGUCCGGAAUUAUUGGGCGUAAAGAGCUCGUAGGCGGCCUGUUGCGUCCGCUGUGAAAUCCCGGGGCUCAACCCCGGGCGUGCAGUGGAUACGGGCUGGCUGGAGGCAGGCAGGGGAGAACGGAAUUCCUGGUGUAGCGGUGAAAUGCGCAGAUAUCAGGAGGAACACCGGUGGCGAAGGCGGUUCUCUGGCCUGUACUGACGCUGAGGCGCGAAAGCUAGGGGAGCAAACAGG